UUCGCAAUGCCCGAAAGGGUGACCGAGCGACGCCGCGUGGAGGACGAAGGCCUUCGGGUUGUAAACUCCUGUCGAGGGGGAGGAAGGUCUGUCUCGUGCAGGCAACCUUGACCGUAUCCCUGGAGGAAGCACGGGCUAAGUUCGUGCCAGCAGCCGCGGUAAGACGAACCGUGCGAACGUUAUUCGGAAUCACUGGGCUUAAAGCGCGUGUAGGCGGAUGGGAACGUCGGUCUUUGAAAGCCCCCGGCUCAACCGGGGAAGCGGAGCCGAAACGACCGAUCUGGAGGGACGUAGGGGGACCUGGAACUUCCGGUGGAGCAGUGAAAUGCGUUGAGAUCGGAAGGAACGCCCGUGGCGAAAGCGAGGUCCUGGACGUCUGCUGACGCUGAGACGCGAAAGCUAGGGGAGCAAACGGGAUUAGAUACCCCGGUAGUCCUAGCCGUAAACGAUGGGCACUAAGUAGAGGGGUUUU
RNAcentral lists this ribosomal RNA (472 nucleotides) under uncultured bacterium. RNAcentral describes it as "bacterial SSU rRNA". It matches the Rfam family "Bacterial small subunit ribosomal RNA", at positions 365 to 832 of the family's 1533-position model. The record is from RNAcentral.